RNAcentral lists this ribosomal RNA (489 nucleotides) under uncultured bacterium. RNAcentral's name for it is "bacterial SSU rRNA". It matches the Rfam family "Bacterial small subunit ribosomal RNA", at positions 1013 to 1502 of the family's 1533-position model. The record is from RNAcentral.
UGUGCCUUUGGGAACUGUAAGACAGGUGCUGCAUGGCUGUCGUCAGCUCGUGUUGUGAAAUGUUGGGUUAAGUCCCGCAACGAGCGCAACCCUUAUCCUUGUUUGCCAGCACUUCGGGUGGGAACUCCAGGGAGACUGCCGGUGAUAAACCGGAGGAAGGUGGGGACGACGUCAAGUCAUCAUGGCCCUUACGAGUAGGGCUACACACGUGCUACAAUGGCGCAUACAGAGGGCGGCCAACUUGCGAAAGUGAGCGAAUCCCAAAAAGUGCGUCGUAGUCCGGAUUGGAGUCUGCAACUCGACUCCAUGAAGUCGGAAUCGCUAGUAAUCGUGGAUCAGAAUGCCACGGUGAAUACGUUCCCGGGCCUUGUACACACCGCCCGUCACACCAUGGGAGUGGGCUGCAAAAGAAGUGGGUAGUUUAACCUUCGGGAGGACGCUCACCACUUUGUGGUUCAUGACUGGGGUGAAGUCGUAACAAGGUAACCG